Molecule: ribosomal RNA, 253 nt
Filed under: uncultured bacterium
Lineage: Bacteria
Description: partial 16S ribosomal RNA
Rfam family: Bacterial small subunit ribosomal RNA
Source: RNAcentral
UACGGGGGGGGCAAGCGUUGUUCGGAAUUACUGGGCGUAAAGGGCUCGUAGGCGGCCAACUAAGUCGGAUGUGAAAUCCCCAGGCUUAACCUGGGAACUGCAUCCGAUACUGGAUGGCUUGAAUCCGGGAGAGGGAUGCAGAAUUCCAGGUGUAACGGUGAAAUGCGUAGAUAUCUGGAGGAAUACCGGUGGCGAAGGCGGCAUCCUGGACCGGCAUUGACGCUGAGGAGCGAAAGCUAGGGUAGCAAACGGG